This 494-nucleotide ribosomal RNA is filed under the name uncultured bacterium. Its description in RNAcentral is "partial 16S ribosomal RNA". It matches the Rfam family "Bacterial small subunit ribosomal RNA", at positions 28 to 507 of the family's 1533-position model. The record is from RNAcentral.
GACGAACGCUGGCGGCGUGCUUAACACAUGCAAGUCGAACGGUGAAGCGCCUUCCUUUUUGGUGGGUGUGGAUGAGUGGCGAACGGGUGAGUAACACGUGAGUAACCUGCCCCCUUCUUCUGGAUAACCGCAUGAAAGUGUGGCUAAUACGGGAUAUUCUGGGUCUGUCGCAUGAUGGGUCUGGGAAAGAUAUUGUUUCGGUGGGGGAUGGGCUCGCGGCCUAUCAGCUUGUUGGUGGGGUGAUGGCCUACCAAGGCGGUGACGGGUAGCCGGCCUGAGAGGGUGGACGGUCACACUGGGACUGAGACACGGCCAAGACUCCUACGGGAGGCAGCAGUGGGGAAUAUUGCACAAUGGGCGCAGGCCUGAUGCGGCGACGCCGCGUGAGGGAUGGAGGCCUUCGGGUUGUGAACCUCUUUCGCCAGUGAAGCAGGCCUGCCUCGUUUGUGGGUGGGUUGACGGUAGCUGGAUAAGAAGCGCCGGCUAACUACGUG